Molecule: ribosomal RNA, 253 nt
Filed under: uncultured bacterium
Lineage: Bacteria
Description: partial 16S ribosomal RNA
Rfam family: Bacterial small subunit ribosomal RNA
Source: RNAcentral
UACGGAGGAUGCAAGCGUUAUCCGGAAUUAUUGGGCGUAAAGCGUCCGCAGGUGGCACCUCAAGUCUGUCGUCAAAGACCGGGGCUUAACCCUGGAAAGGCGAUGGAAACUGAAAGGCUAGAGAGAGGUAGGGGUAGAGGGAAUUCCCAGUGUAGCGGUGAAAUGCGUAGAGAUUGGGAAGAACAUCGGUGGCGAAAGCGCCUUGCUGGGUCUGCACUGACACUGAGGGACGAAAGCUAGGGGAGCGAAAGGG